CCUACGGGAGGCAGCAGUGGGGAAUAUUGGUCAAUGGGCGCAAGCCUGAACCAGCCACGCCGCGUGAAGGAAGAAUGCUUUCGGGUUGUUAACUUCUUUUCUCAUGGACAUAACAGGUGACGCUACCUUAUUACUGAACCCUGGCUAACUACGGGCCAGCAGCCGCUGUAAUACGUAGGUUGCAAGCGUUAUCCGGAUUUACUGGGUUUAAAGGGCGCGUAGGUGGGAAGGCAAGUCAGAUGUGAAAACCAUGGGCGCAACCGGUGGCAUGCAUUUGAAACUGGUUUUCUUGAGUACUGGAGAGGCAGACGGAAUUCGUAGUGUAGCGGUGAAAUGCGUAGAUAUCAGGAGGAACACCAGUGGCGAAGGCGGUUUGCUGGACAGCAACUGACGCUGAGGCGCGAAAGCGUGGGGAUCAAACAGGAUUAGAUACCCCAGUAGUC
RNAcentral lists this ribosomal RNA (443 nucleotides) under uncultured bacterium. RNAcentral's name for it is "partial 16S ribosomal RNA". It matches the Rfam family "Bacterial small subunit ribosomal RNA", at positions 338 to 795 of the family's 1533-position model. The record is from RNAcentral.